RNAcentral lists this transfer RNA (65 nucleotides) under Hylastes opacus. RNAcentral's name for it is "tRNA-Phe". The record is from RNAcentral. Lineage: Eukaryota; Metazoa; Arthropoda; Insecta; Coleoptera; Curculionidae.
AUUUAAGUAGCCUAUAGUAAGGGCAUGGUGCUGAAGCUACCAAGGAAGUAUAAUACUCUUAAAUA